UAUUUAUUUUUCACUAACCGAUUUUUCUUUGUUUCUAUUUAUUUAACUUCAAUUUAGGUGUUUUAUGACCCGAAGAAAUUUGGAUUUUCUUUUCGAUUGUGAUCCAGAAAUUAAAAGGACUAUUCAGAGUAGACUUUGAGAACAAGGCGAUGAUUAGUAGCUAGUCCAAGAGGAUGAUCAGCCACACUGGGACUGAGACGCGUCCCAGACUCCUACUGGAGGCAAUAGUGGGGAAUUUUCUACAAUAGGCGAAAGCUGGACAGAGCAAUGUCGAGUGGAGGUAGAAGGCCUAUGGAUCGUGAACUUCUUUUCCCAGAGAAGAAGCAAUGACAGUAUCUGGGGAAUAAGCAUCGGCUAACUCUGUGCCAGUAGUCGUGGUAAUAUAGAGGAUGCAAGCGUUAUCUGGAAUGAUUAGGUGUAAAGCAUCUGAAGGUGGCAUUUUAAGUCCACCGUCAAAUCCCAGGGCUCAACCCUAGGCAGGCGGUGGAAACUACCAAGCUGGAGUACAGUAGGGGCAGAAGGAAUUUCUGGUGGAGUGGUCAAAUGCGUAGAGAUCGGAAAGAACACCAACGGCGGAAGCACUCUGCUGGGCUGACACUAACACUGAGAAAUGAAAGCUAGGGAAGUGAAUGGGAUUAGGUACCUCAGUAGUCCUAGUUGUAAACUAUGGAUACUAGGCAUUGUGCGUAUCGACCCGUAUAGUGCUGUAGCUAACGCGUUAAGUAUCCCGCCUAGGGAGUACGUUCGCAAGAAUGAAACUCGAAGGAAUUGAUAGGGGCCCGCACAAUCGAUGGAGCAUGUGGUUAAUUCGAUGCAAAGCGAAGAACCUUACCAGGGCUUGACAUGCCGCGAAUCCUCUUGAAAGAUAGGGGUGCCUUCGAGAACGUGGACACAGGUGGUGCAUGGCUGUCGUCAUCUCGUGCCAUAAGGUGUUGGGUUAAGUCCUGGAACGAGUGCAACCCUCGUGUUUAGUUUCCACCAUUGAGUUGGAACCCUGAGCAGACUGUUUGUGAUAAGUAAGAGGAAGGUGAGGAUGACGUCAAUUCAUCAUGCCCCUUAUGCAAGCAUUAUGCCCUGGGCGACACACGUGCUACAAUGGAAGGGACAAAAGGUCACGUUUCCACGAGGGUGAGCUAACUCCAAAAACCCAUUCUUAGUUCGGAUUGUAGGCUACAACACGCCUGCAUGAAGCCGAAAUCGCUAGUAAUCGUCAGUUAGCCAUACGAUGGUGAAUUCAUUCCCGGGCCUUGUACACACUGCCCGUCACACUAUGGGAGCUGGCCAUGCCCGAAGUCGUUACCUUAACCGCAAGGAAGGGGAUGUUGAAGGUAGGGCUAGUGACUAGAGUAAAGUUGUAACAACGUAGUCAUACUGGAAGGUGCGGCUGGAUCACCUCCU
Non-coding RNA from Gossypium raimondii (Peruvian cotton), 1398 nucleotides. The record is from Rfam. NCBI's taxonomy places the organism in Eukaryota, Viridiplantae, Streptophyta, Magnoliopsida, Malvales, Malvaceae.